This 199-nucleotide ribosomal RNA is filed under the name uncultured bacterium. RNAcentral describes it as "partial 16S ribosomal RNA". It matches the Rfam family "Bacterial small subunit ribosomal RNA", at positions 1300 to 1500 of the family's 1533-position model. The record is from RNAcentral.
GCAGCCUGCAACUCGGCUGCAUGAAGCCGGAAUCGCUAGUAAUCGCGGAUCAGAAUGCCGCGGUGAAUACGUUCCCGGGUCUUGUACACACCGCCCGUCACACCAUGGGAGUCGGAAAUGCCCGAAGUCGGUGACCUAACGAAAGAAGGAGCCGCCGAAGGCAGGUCCGGUAACUGGGGUGAAGUCGUAACAAGGUACC